This 454-nucleotide ribosomal RNA is filed under the name Picoa juniperi. RNAcentral's name for it is "eukaryotic LSU rRNA". The stretch from base 139 to 292 matches the Rfam family "5.8S ribosomal RNA". The record is from RNAcentral. Lineage: Eukaryota; Fungi; Ascomycota; Pezizomycetes; Pezizales; Pyronemataceae.
GCUGCACGUGCUGGACGGCGUGCCUCCUUGACCAUCUCACCGGGUGUGGUGGGGAUCACGGGGUGUCGGCGCGGAAGGUUUUACCACAAACCCUUGUAUUUCCAUGUUUUCUGUCUGAACUGUCAUAAGAAUAAUUAAAACUUUCAACAACGGAUCUCUUGGUUCUCGCAUCGAUGAAGAACGCAGCGAAAUGCGAUAAGUAGUGUGAAUUGCAGAAUUCCGUGAAUCAUCGAAUCUUUGAACGCACAUUGCGCCUCCUGAUAUUCCGGGAGGCAUGCCUGUUCGAGCGUCAUUAAAAUCAAAUCAAGCGCUUGUGCUUGGUCAUGGAGGAGGAGUCCACCCUGUGGUCUCCCCACCGAAAUACAAAGGCGGAAGGACUCCGGUACACGGCGUAGUACUAACGUUCGCUUCGUACCUGGAAUCCUACCUGCCGUCAAACCCCCCACAAUUCUCU